Molecule: ribosomal RNA, 455 nt
Filed under: uncultured bacterium
Lineage: Bacteria
Description: bacterial SSU rRNA
Rfam family: Bacterial small subunit ribosomal RNA
Source: RNAcentral
UACGGAAGGCAGCAGUGGGGAAUAUUGCACAAUGGGCGAAAGCCUGAUGCAGCUAUGCCGCGUGUAUGAAGAAGGCCUUAGGGUUGUAAAGUACUUUCAUUGGGGAGGAAAAAACAAAACUAAUAAUUUUAUUUCUUGACGUUACCCGAAAAAGAAGCACCGGCUAACUCCGUGCCAGCAGCCGCGGUAAUACGGAGGGUGCUAGCGUUAAUCAGAAUUACUGGGCGUAAAGAGCACGUAGGUGGUUUUUUUAAGUCAGAUGUGAAAUCCCUGGGCUUAACCUGGAACUGCAUUUUGAAACUGAAAUACUAGAGUAUCGUAGAGGGAGGUAGAAUUCUAGGUGUAGCGGUGAAAUGCGUAGAUAUCUGGAGGAAUACCUGUGGCGAAAGCGGCCUCCUAAACGAAUACUGACACUGAGGUGCGAAAGCGUGGGGAGCAAACAGGGAUUAGAUACC